UACGGAGGGUGCAAGCGUUAUCCGGAUUUACUGGGUUUAAAGGGUGCGUAGGUGGGCAGGCAAGUCAGUGGUGAAAUCUCCGGGCUUAACCCGGAAACUGCCAUUGAUACUAUUUGUCUUGAAUAUCGUGGAGGUAAGCGGAAUAUGUCAUGUAGCGGUGAAAUGCUUAGAUAUGACAUAGAACACCAAUUGCGAAGGCAGCUUACUACCCGAAUAUUGACACUGAGGCACGAAAGCGUGGGGAUCAAACAGG
Molecule: ribosomal RNA, 253 nt
Filed under: uncultured bacterium
Lineage: Bacteria
Description: partial 16S ribosomal RNA
Rfam family: Bacterial small subunit ribosomal RNA
Source: RNAcentral